UCGGCUAGUUUUCAUAUUUAAAGAAUCAAAUGUAUUCUGGGAUAAAUAUUAGAAAUCAUUUACGAAAGGAAAAAGGUCAUACUAGUGAAAAAAGAAAUUAAUACUGACAUCAUUAGUAAUAGCUCGAUCAAAACAAGGCCUGAAAUAGGGAAUAAGCCCCUUGUUUUCUUUUUUCAAUAGAUUUUGUUUGAUUGGGUUUUUAUGUGAGUUUAUUUCAUGCAUUUCAUCUCAUAUGUCUUUUUGCUUAUUUGAAUGGAGAGUGUUUUCUUCCCCUCUUCUUUGUCUUCUUCAUUAUGUUCUCCUCUAUGUUUUUUUUCUUUUCUGAAAUACAUGUAUGUCUUGUUUUCGUCAGAUUUUUGAGCAAAUUAUUUCAUUAAACUGCUGUUUUUGGUUUCUAAUGAGAAAUCUGUUUUCUGAACCAGUUUCUUUUCUUCUGGAGAUUUGAGUACCUGCUCAAGCUUUUAAUUUGAACUUCUUGAGUGAUUCAGAUAUGAAACCCCAUUCACGAUAACUGGCAUAUCUAUCAGACAGAGAAAGGAGAGGUUCAUGCUGCAACCAGGAGGAGGAGCAAAGGGUCAAAUAAGCAGGCUCGUGGAUUUUUGGUCAAUAAAGCCGAAAGAUCUGUCUUUGACAUAUCAGAUGCGGAGUUAAACUUAAGCAUUGGGAGCCAGAUAUAACUAGAGGUGUCAAGCUGAGUUUGAACUGCAAAAUUUGUGAUGCCCAGCAUGUUUUCGAUCUUCAGCUGACACUAAAAUUCAUCUCUUUUAUAGUUGCUCAGUUUCAGCUUGACCAAAACCAGUAACAUUGUAAGUUAAAUCAUCCAUGGUCUACAGUUCAUUGCCUACAAUAACAUGGUUCAAAGUGAGCUCUUGGUUGGCUUGUCGCCAUUCAGGAUAGCACUCUCUCACGUCAGUUUUAUGGUUAUUUCAUCGGGAAUCAAACCGGGAGUAUUUGGAUGUUGAAUGAUUCAUCUAACAAUUAAGAUUUUGGGAUGAUAUCUAUAUCAUUGCACAUGUAUGUGAUGUGCAUUAUUGGAGUUUAGACAAUUUACUUCUAGAUGUAGGCUGCUCAUUUUUUUCAUGCCAUUCAUCCGCUGUAUCACAUUUUAUAUAACAUCUCAUGUCCACUUUUAACGCCUAGUUUGUAGAUUCAAAACUCACAAGCAAGUUACAAGCUCUCUGGAGUGUAGAUUGAUGGGAUAAGUUUUGCGUGUUCAAGAUGAAUGUUGAAACUGAGAGUCUAAAGCACCAGUUUCUAUAUUGUAUGAUUUCGACCAAGUUGUCUUCUAAUUUCACAUUCUUUUGUUAAUUAUGGAGAAAUUAUUGAGUGUACUAGGUGCUUGGGGACCAGGCAAGAAACCAAAUAGGAGACUACUGAAAUGCCGAAAAUAUUUGUUCUUACACUGCUUUACUUUUCUUUUGUUAAGGUGCAUAUAUGUGAGGUAACGCUAAAUAAUUUCUUAUAGAAGAGUAUCAGCAAAUUAUUGAAAUUUGGGAUGGUUUUGCAGAUUGGCGCAAAUUAGGGUUUUAUGUUACAGGGGUAUGAGCACAAGCCUGAGCAAGUAGAAGAUUCAUCAGAUACAUUUAGUAAAGUUUGGUUUUUUAUUAGGAUUUUUUGAAGGAGAAACAUAUAUGGAGGAGGCUAUGAAGAGCUAGGUCGCUAGUUUUGGAAGAAUUUUUUUGUGGGCUGAAACAAGAUUCUCAAGUAUUUACUAUUACCUUGUUUGUUAUUUCCAAGAGAACAGUUUCUGUGGGUUCCCGUAUGAG
Molecule: long non-coding RNA, 1766 nt
Organism: Asparagus officinalis (garden asparagus)
Lineage: Eukaryota; Viridiplantae; Streptophyta; Magnoliopsida; Asparagales; Asparagaceae
Exons: 3
Source: RefSeq, a predicted model, not a curated record